This 396-nucleotide ribosomal RNA is filed under the name uncultured bacterium. RNAcentral's name for it is "partial 16S ribosomal RNA". It matches the Rfam family "Bacterial small subunit ribosomal RNA", at positions 338 to 731 of the family's 1533-position model. The record is from RNAcentral.
CCUACGGGUGGCAGCAGUGAGGAAUAUUGGUCAAUGGGCGCGAGCCUGAACCAGCCAAGUCGCGUGAAGGAUGAAUGCACUGAGGGUUGUAAACCUCUUUUGUAAAGGAAUAAAGUGAGGCACGUGUCCCUUUUUGUAUGUACUUUAUGAAAAAGGAUCGGCUAACUCCGUGCCAGCAGCCGCGGUAAUACGGAGGAUCCGAGCGUUAUCCGGAUUUAUUGGGUUUAAAGGGAGCGUAGAUGGUUUGUUAAGUCAGUGGUGAAAGUUUGCGGCUCAACCGUAAGAUGGCAAUUGAUACUGGCAGUCUUGAGUACAGUUGAGGUAGGCGGAAUGCGUGGUGUAGCGGUGAAAUGCAUAGAUAUCACGCAGAACUCCGAUUGCGAAGGCAGCAUACUA